AAGAGCGUAGUGCGGGAAAUCCGCACGCUACGUUCUGUGGGAAUCGGUGGCGGGUGACUGCCACCGAUGACCCGGUCUGAGGGUUAGAUACCCUCAGCUACCCGAU
RNAcentral lists this unclassified non-coding RNA (106 nucleotides) under Nitrosomonas halophila. The record is from RNAcentral. Lineage: Bacteria; Pseudomonadati; Pseudomonadota; Betaproteobacteria; Nitrosomonadales; Nitrosomonadaceae.